This 447-nucleotide ribosomal RNA is filed under the name uncultured bacterium. RNAcentral's name for it is "partial 16S ribosomal RNA". It matches the Rfam family "Bacterial small subunit ribosomal RNA", at positions 331 to 792 of the family's 1533-position model. The record is from RNAcentral.
CCAGACUCCUACGGGAGGCAGCAGUGGGGAAUAUUGCACAAUGGGGGAAACCCUGAUGCAGCAACGCCGCGUGAAGGAAGACGGUUUUCGGAUUGUAAACUUCUAUCAAUAGGGAAGAAAGAAAUGACGGUACCUAAAUAAGAAGCCCCGGCUAACUACGUGCCAGCAGCCGCGGUAAUACGUAGGUGGCAAGCGUUGUCCGGAUUUACUGGGUGUAAAGGGCGUGCAGCCGGGAAGACAAGUCAGAUGUGAAAUCCCGCGGCUCAACCGCGGAACUGCAUUUGAAACUGUUUUUCUUGAGUACCGGAGAGGUCAUCGGAAUUCCUUGUGUAGCGGUGAAAUGCGUAGAUAUAAGGAAGAACACCAGUGGCGAAGGCGGAUGACUGGACGGCAACUGACGGUGAGGCGCGAAAGCGUUGGGAGCAAACAGGAUUAGAUACCCCAGUA